AUCUUCUUAGCUCAAUGGUAGAGCGUGGCACUUCUAAUGUUUUGGCGUGAGUUCGAUUCUCACAGAAGAUU
RNAcentral lists this transfer RNA (71 nucleotides) under Meira sp. (in: smut fungi & allies). Its description in RNAcentral is "Meira sp. tRNA-Arg". It matches the Rfam family "tRNA". From Rfam's summary of the family: Transfer RNA (tRNA) molecules are approximately 80 nucleotides in length. Their secondary structure includes four short double-helical elements and three loops (D, anti-codon, and T loops). The record is from RNAcentral. Lineage: Eukaryota; Fungi; Basidiomycota; Exobasidiomycetes; Exobasidiales; Brachybasidiaceae.